GGACCCGUGGCGCAAUGGUAGCGCAUCUGAUUCCAGUGUCAUGGAGGUUCCAGAAGGUUAUCCGUUCAAUCCGGGUCGGGUUCA
This is a non-coding RNA of Aulographum hederae CBS 113979, 84 nucleotides long. The record is from the annotation of a GenBank genome assembly. NCBI's taxonomy places the organism in Eukaryota, Fungi, Ascomycota, Dothideomycetes, Aulographales, Aulographaceae.